This 253-nucleotide ribosomal RNA is filed under the name uncultured bacterium. RNAcentral describes it as "partial 16S ribosomal RNA". It matches the Rfam family "Bacterial small subunit ribosomal RNA", at positions 524 to 776 of the family's 1533-position model. The record is from RNAcentral.
UACGAAGGGGGCUAGCGUUGCUCGGAAUUACUGGGCGUAAAGGGCGCGUAGGCGGGUAUUUAAGUCAGGGGUCAAAUCCCGGGGCUCAACCUCGGAACUGCCUUUGAUACUGGGUACCUAGAGUUCGGGAGAGGUGUGUGGAACUCCGAGUGUAGAGGUGAAAUUCGUAGAUAUUCGGAAGAACACCAGUGGCGAAGGCGACACACUGGCCCGAUACUGACGCUGAGGCGCGAAAGCGUGGGGAGCAAACAGG